AAGGACUAGCCUUGCUCCUUGGAUGGAGAAUCAAGGAUCACAUAGUUUUGGCUGAAAAGUUGAUUGUUUGUUUGAGAAAGGAUGUUUUGGUAUUUUUGUAAUUUUUAUGUAAGAAAAAGAAAAUGUCUUCUAGCACAAGAACGAUGCGUGCGAUCACACAUGCGCUAGAAUCCUUAAAAUAUAUUUUUAAUUUUUAUUUAUAGAAAAGAAGGAAUUUUCUAGCACAAGGACGAUGNNNNNNNNNNNNNNNNNNCUAGACCCCUUAAAAUAUAUUUUUAAUUUUUAUUUAUAGAAAAGAAAGGAUUUUCUAGCAAAAGGACGAUGCGUGCGAUCACACAUGUGCUCUACCCCUUUAAAUAUAUAUUUAAUUUUUAUUUAUAGAGAAUAAAGGAUUUUCUACCACAAGGACCAUGCGUGCAAUCAGACAUGUGCUAGACCCCUUAAAAUAAAUUUUUAAUAUUUUUAUAAAAAAAGAAGAAAAAGUGUGCAGCAGAAGGAUACGACGGUCAGAAUCAGAGGCGACUAUGAAACUAACCAAACGACAGCACGAGAGAUUUCGGCAACGAAGACGGCAACGCAGGCACCGUCCGAGGAAUAAAUGCAACCGAAGAUGGCGGUGGAGGUAAACCGUCGGAAUGAGGCCUGGUCUCGUGGUCAGAGUGGAAAAAGGAUUUUUUUCUUCCGAGGUCCUUGCUUCCCUGGUGGAGGAGUAAAGCCCCUUUUUCCAAAAGCCCUCCGUGAAUCAGUUUGUGCCCUUCUCCCCCAUGUAAAGAAAAAUAUUCCCCUUUUUAAAUGGCGGCUGUUGCUCUAAUCCUCUUGGACGUUGCCUUUUCUCGUUUUCUUCUUUGUGCUCCCGUGUGUUUUCUAAAGCAUGCCCAUUAACACCCUCCUCUGCCUUGUUAGAUGGAGAACAAUCAAUAACCCGCGUUCUUGGAUUUGCUGUAUGCACCUAGCUCUUUCUUAAUUUUCUAACCAUCCUUUUUUCAUGUUCAAAUGGAAAGUGCUCCUUUUCUUGGAUGGCAGCUGGACGUGACCAUAUCCAAAGCCUAAAAGCCCUUCACGCCUCUCUUUCUUUAUUACGUUUCCUUUCUCUUUUUUUUCUUUUUCGUUUCUUUCCUUUUUUUUUCUUUCAUUUUUCGUUUUUUUUUUCUUUUUUUCGUUUCUUUUCUUUUUUUUCUUUUUUU
RNAcentral lists this long non-coding RNA (1184 nucleotides) under Vigna radiata. Its description in RNAcentral is "long non-coding RNA (VRAD_LNC001199)". Lineage: Eukaryota; Viridiplantae; Streptophyta; Magnoliopsida; Fabales; Fabaceae. The record is from RNAcentral.